Molecule: ribosomal RNA, 409 nt
Filed under: Bacillus aerius
Lineage: Bacteria; Bacillati; Bacillota; Bacilli; Caryophanales; Bacillaceae
Description: bacterial SSU rRNA
Rfam family: Bacterial small subunit ribosomal RNA
Source: RNAcentral
GACAGAAGGGAGCUUGCUCCCGGAUGUUAGCGGCGGACGGGUGAGUAACACGUGGGUAACCUGCCUGUAAGACUGGGAUAACUCCGGGAAACCGGAGCUAAUACCGGAUAGUUCCUUGAACCGCAUGGUUCAAGGAUGAAAGACGGUUUCGGCUGUCACUUACAGAUGGACCCGCGGCGCAUUAGCUAGUUGGUGAGGUAACGGCUCACCAAGGCGACGAUGCGUAGCCGACCUGAGAGGGUGAUCGGCCACACUGGGACUGAGACACGGCCCAGACUCCUACGGGAGGCAGCAGUAGGGAAUCUUCCGCAAUGGACGAAAGUCUGACGGAGCAACGCCGCGUGAGUGAUGAAGGUUUUCGGAUCGUAAAGCUCUGUUGUUAGGGAAGAACAAGUGCAAGAGUAACUGC